UACGUAGGUGGCAAGCGUUGUCCGGAUUUACUGGGCGUAAAGGGCGUGCAGGCGGUUUGUUAAGUGCAGGGUGAAAGCCCCGGGCUCAACCUGGGAAUGGCCGUUGAAACUGGCGAACUGGAGUGUGGCAGAGGGGGGUGGAAUUCCGCGUGUAGCAGUGAAAUGCGUAGAGAUGCGGAGGAACACCGAUGGCGAAGGCAGCCCCCUGGGCUAACACUGACGCUCAGGCACGAAAGCGUGGGGAGCAAACAGG
RNAcentral lists this ribosomal RNA (253 nucleotides) under uncultured bacterium. RNAcentral describes it as "partial 16S ribosomal RNA". It matches the Rfam family "Bacterial small subunit ribosomal RNA", at positions 524 to 776 of the family's 1533-position model. The record is from RNAcentral.